Non-coding RNA from Anolis carolinensis (green anole), 340 nucleotides. It matches the Rfam family "7SK RNA". From Rfam's summary of the family: 7SK was discovered as an abundant small nuclear RNA in the mid-70s but a possible function has only recently been suggested. Two independent studies have found that 7SK RNA binds the CDK9/cyclin T complex (known as elongation factor P-TEFb). The record is from Rfam. NCBI's taxonomy places the organism in Eukaryota, Metazoa, Chordata, Lepidosauria, Squamata, Anolidae.
GGAUGUGAGGGCGAUCUGGCUACGACAUCUGUCACCCCAUUGAUUGCCAGGGUUGAUUCGGAUGAUCUGGCUGGCUAGGCGAGUGUCCCCUUCCUCCCGCAACGCUCUCCAUGUGUGUCCCUCCCAAAUCUGCAUGCUUGGUGGAAGAGGAUGACGUCCCAGGUAUAGAAGGAGUGUACCGAGGUCUCCAGUCUUCGGUCCCGGGUAUACGAUAGCUGUGCUCCCCUGCUAGAACCUCCAAACAAGCUCAAACAGAGAUUUGAUGGCCACCAGUCAAGAGAGGCUAUCAAUUAUUUUUUCCUUAUUAGUGGAUGAACUUUGGGGAGUUUUCUAUUAUUCU